ACUGGGAAAAACUCGUUUUUCAGCGUCACUUAUAGACCGGAAGUUGACGAAUCAACGUUCCGAACGUUAAUACUGCCUUCGAUUGUCUGUAACUUUUAUUGUUAUGAAUUUUUACGUCCACCUGUUUUUUUCUAUCGUUCUAAUAGAUUUCAGUAUUCCUUUUUUAUUCUGUUAAUGAAAAAAUACACUAGAUGUUAUUAGUAAAAGCAUAAAAAAAAUUUUUAAUAAUAUUUUUUGUCAAUUUUUCUCAAACGUUAAAUAAAUCUUUGUGAUAUCCUGACCUACUACUGAUUCGGAAAUCGAUGUCGGGAAUUGAAAAGACCUAAAUACGAUGCAAUAUCGCGUUAAGUCACAGAAUAACUCUCGAAUUUUUAGUACACAGAAAAAAAGCAGUUAUCGAUGAACGGAGCAACGUCCUAAAUAGUAUGGCGCAUGGUUCUUAUUUUCUUAACAGUCUAUUUCUAUAUACAUUCUUCGGCACGCCCAGAUUUCUUUCCGCAUCCCAGAACUGUUCAAACAGAUGAAUUGCGUUCUCGCCUUUUUUCGAGUGAAACUCUGAAAUAUUUAACAUCGUUAAACAACUCUGAAUGUCAUAAGAGUAUCGGCUUGGACAAGCGAAGAAUCAGUCACCUUUUUUCUGCUGAUGGCGUCGGCGGUUCGUCUCUCACGACAAGUUGAAUUACUUAUUACGUGCUUUCGAUAAGAUUCAUUUAGAAUGUUCGAAAAUCGAGGAAAAUUUAGAUUUCAUAACAGUGCAAAAUGGUGUAUUGUUAUUUUUUUGAAAUGCAUAGCAUAUUUACAAUGCGGAGAAACAAAAAAUUCAUCGAUUGUUGAAAAUUCUGAAGGUUGCGGGGGUGAAUUCUCCGGAUAUCAAUACACCAUCAGCAGUCCCAAUUAUCCUAAAUCAUAUGCAGAACAACAAAACUGUAUUUUUAUUCUGCGUGGAAGCCAUUUAGCCACGUGCGAUCAAGUAUUCAAUUUAAAAUUUCUGGAUUUUUCGUUGCCACCGUCAGAAAAUUGCGCAGAUGAUUACGUUGAAAUCGGUGAUCGCAGUUUAUUUUGCGGAAGAGUUAUCGGUAUUCGUGAAUAUCCUAGCAAAAAUAACAAGCUGAUUCUACGGUUUCGUAGUGGCACUCGUAGUAGACUCGGAGAUAAACGAUUCAAAAUUUUAAUCACAACGGUACCGUGUUUCUUGCAGCAAAUGAAUGGAAAAAAUACAGCAAAUAUGGUGGAACAAGAUGGGACCACGUUGGGGAACCAAACGGCUGACAAAUAUUUCACUCACGAAAAUACUGGGUCGCAUAUUAAUUUACCGAUCGAGAGGAACAGACAAUUCGUAAGGAAUGAAGUGCCAUCUCCACCAAAAGUAAAAGGUUUAGAUGAAAAAGAAGAAAACGAUUUAUUGACUGUCACUCAGCAUAUAGAGGUUAACGAAGCACCGAGUAACUAUCUACAAGUUCCAGUUGGUGGAAUUAAAUUAUUUAGAGAUCCGACACUUACAAAAACGGAGACCGUGAUACCGAAUACAGUCCAGUCAAACGAACAGAAACCUUCAAAAAUUUCGGCUUACUUAUUUGUAGAACCGAAUCCUGAGAAUUAUUUCAAGGAUCGGACUCAGUCAAGUAUUUCCUCGGUUACCUUUUCGACAGACUCUCCAAAGGCAUCGCUCCUCAGCAUACCACAGACCGAAAUUCAUCCGCCAAACCGAGAGAAUGUACAAUUUCGAGAUACCAGGUUUUCAAAUUCUACGAGAAAGUUACUUCUCCGUCAAGAACACCAAGGAAAUAAUGAGAAGUUUUUGAUUUCAACGAAAACUUAUGAUAUACCAGAUGUACCAUCCUAUCCUUCAUUUCAAAAUUCAGUACCAGGUAUCAAAACUGGUGAAGUUCUAGACAAUCCAAGUAGUUUCAUUAACUAUCCGACAAAUACUAAUCUGAAGUCAGAACUCGAAGUAACUAAGACGCUUCACGGGAAAAACCGCGAACCAAUCAAUAAUCUACAAAGUAACCAAGGAUUCAGCAGGCUGUUCUACCCGACCAUGUCUUACCAGUUUCCAUCUUCACAUCAUGCUUCAUAUGUAUCUCCGUAUGUGCUAAACGGUAAUCAUGCUACGACUGCAGGUAUAACAUAUGGGCUACCGACGGCUUCUUAUACAACCAAUGUACCCGGGGUGAGUGAAUUCGAAAACUGCAAGAAUUCACUGCCUAGAUUCGAUGUUCUACCAUCGAAUAGUUUCAAAGGGUAUCAAAAUUUUAUCCCCAAUGUCGACGAUUCAGUCAACUAUUACCCAGUUAUUCCUAAUUCAAGGAACAUCGGAAACCUACCGUUAUGUUGCAAUACUUACUAUUUGCAGCAAAGGUUCCUGCUCGCAAGUCCUGAUUUUCCAUCAUCCUCAUAUUCUGAAAAUACGUUUGAGUGUGCUUUUUCGAUAAUACCAUACUCAACUAAUACUUGCUAUAUGCGCUUCAAUUUAAAGUUUUUUAAUCAUGGAGUCGAUGAUUCUUCCUGUUCAAACGGUCAUAUAGAGAUUGAUGGACGUCGCAUUUGUGGUUGUAAAAAGGGCCUGAGUAUUCAAUCGAUAGUCACGACGGCAUUUCCUAAACUUGUUGGUGUUAGAUACACGGGCUAUCCACGAACCAAGUUCAACGGGUUUUUAAUAGAAGUAAUUCAAGAACCUUGUGCCAACAGCUACGGUUACCAAUCGAGGAGCAAGAAAGAUACCGGAAACUUAUCCAUCGAAAAUGACAGAUCUACGAAAAUAAAUAUUGGAAUUGGAAAUACCACGGUCAAGAGAACGAAGAGGAAUUUGGGUUACAGUUACCCAAAACCAAGCUUUGGCUUUGUUGAAGGAUCCGUAUUAGGACAGCCUUACAUUUUUGGGAAUUCACCAAAUUUUCACUCAUGGGCCCACGAAGACUUUGUCAGUAAUGUCUUAUCGCCUUUAUUUUCAUGUCAGGUCUUCAGUUUUCUCGAUUGGAUUAUCGCUGCGAAGGAGACAUAUUUCAAGAAUAGCAGGUGCGUCAAAACCAACACUGCAUCAGGGAAUAAUUUUCCACACACGUAUGUUGUGGAUAAUUCCGGUUUCGGCGAGACGGCCUAUCCAUAUUCUACAAAGCUCCUGGUUUUUGUCAACUGGAGUUAGUUGUUCUCGAUUUUUACCUGGAAAAGAGUAUCGGAUGUACAAAGGAUUAUAUGAUAUUCACCGGGAACAACAGCCGUUAUUGUGGCAAUUCGCUAGCAGGCAGGAAAAUAAUGUUCGACAUUUCCCGAGGUGGAAUUAUCAAUGUGUGUUUUGUGACUGACACCUUUGGAACUGAACGUGGUUUUAGUGCAGGUUUUUCGCAGAUUCCUUGUCGAGGAUUGGUUAAUCGUUAAUCAAAAGGUUG
This 3386-nucleotide unclassified non-coding RNA is filed under the name Venturia canescens. Its description in RNAcentral is "uncharacterized LOC122408303, transcript variant X1". Lineage: Eukaryota; Metazoa; Arthropoda; Insecta; Hymenoptera; Ichneumonidae. The record is from RNAcentral.